This is a long non-coding RNA of Melanotaenia boesemani (Boeseman's rainbowfish), 2679 nucleotides long. RefSeq lists it as uncharacterized. NCBI's taxonomy places the organism in Eukaryota, Metazoa, Chordata, Actinopteri, Atheriniformes, Melanotaeniidae. The record is from RefSeq and is a predicted model, not a curated record. The transcript is spliced from 4 exons.
AGAGCUGGAAAGCUGUCUUCCACACUGAGGUUUAGGGAAAUACUUCAGUAAAAACAUGAUGAGGAACAUUUGCAUCUUCUUCCUGCUGCUCGUCCUUCCUGUCUGUGGGCAGCAAUCAAGGCUCAGAAAAACCAGCUUUAUACAGUAUCAUCUAGAAAAGACCUGGAACGAAGCUCAGUCUUUCUGCAGAAAGAACCACACUGAUCUAGUCACUAUCAGAAAUGAAGACGAGAAUCAGCUGAUUGCUAAUGACAAGAGCUGGAUCGGAUUGUACCGAGAGGAUGAGAACAGUCCAUGGAAAUGGUCCAGCAGUGGAGAGAAUGCAACCUACUUCAAAUGGGGACAUAAUGAACCAAAUAACCCACAAACUGAACUCUGUGUUGUGAGGUGGAAUAAUGGUCAAUAGCAGAAUAACGAGUGUCAGGAGAAAUAUAAUUUCCUGUGUUAUGAUGACAAUCUGGUUCUGGUGACGGAGAACAAGACGUGGGAGGAGGCGUUAGACCACUGCAGGUCUCUGGGGGGAAAGGGCUCAAAGAAUCCAGACUCUGUGUCCUGGAAGCCCAGCUACGACUUGGCCACCCUGAUCACUGAAGAUGAUCAUGACUACGCACGAGAGGAAGCACAGCAGGCGACCACUGAUGAGGUGUGGACAGGCCUGCGUUUCCAUGGUGAUGGCUGGUUGUGGGUGGGUGGAGAACCAGUGCAGUACCAGGAUAUUCCAAGCUGCUCGGUUUACGGCUGUGGUGUCCUGGAGAAGAACAGCAACACAUCCUUUGGGCUCAGAGCCUGCAGUCAGAGAAGGAACUUCUUCUGUUACAAGAGGCCUUAAAACGACUGAAAGCCACUGGGCUCAUCUAUCAGCUGCUUCUCCCUGCUGUUAAUAACAACACCAGGAGUUUAGAAACACUGCUGGAAUCUCUGCAGCUCAUCCACAAGUAAACACUCUUCAUUGCUGCUGCUUGACUGCUGCCAUUGUUUUUCUGAUAAAGAAUAAGAGGUAAAUGUUCCUCUGCUUCCACCUUCAGGAGUCUGACAGUAACUGCAGCAUGGUUGUUUAUCUCAGUAAAGCAGCAACAAUGAAGAACCUUUACUUAGUAAAUGCUCCACAUAACUACUCUGCUUCACAUCACUGGAAACACACUCAGAUGUACAAACACAUAUUUGAUAAGAAGUUUGAAGUUAGACAGUAAAACAGAUCAGUGAUGGAUCAGUAGAGUCUGUCCUUCACUGAUUAGAUUUCAUAUUAAAAACAUUGAGUAAGUCUCGUUAUCAGUUAGUUUAUGAUGUAGUUAUACAGAUUAUCAGCAGCUGUUUGGGAACAUGAAGCUAUCAACACUUCUAUAACAGCAUUUAAUACUUAUAUUUAAUUGUAUGAUUAUUUACAAAUUUUCCUUGUUUUGUCUGAAAUCUCAGUGAUGUAAAUAUACCAAGAAAUCCACACUAGACGUCCCCAAAAAAGAUGAAAUGCCCUGAAAUAAAUAUAUAUUUUCUUUAUAAAACACAUUAGGAGGUUUUUGCCCGACAGCAGCAAUUUGUUAGAUAUAUGUUAAACAAUAUGUUGGAAGAGGGAAACAUUGAAAAGCUGCUGCCCUCGGCUCUGACUGCUGCCUUCUCCUGCCUUCUUAUUGGUGGGUGGUUGGUCCUCCUUGUGGUGGCCUGCCUGGUUCUGUGCUCCGGGACGGCUGCUGGUGGCCCGGUGCUUGGGGGCUUCUCUAUCUACUUCUCAUCCUAAUAUCUGACACACAUCUGGUCCCACAAGCUGAAGUGUUGUCAAUUGAUACUAUGCAGAAGACGCCUUGUGAUUCAUGAUAGUCAUUAGCAAUAGGGAGUAAUUUAUAAUAUUAGAGAAAAUGUUCUUAGUGGCAAAGACAAAAUCAUUUCCAGACCAGGAUUUAUAGCAAGCCGAAAGGUGGGAAAACCACAUACAGUAGGACUGGCCACACACCAGAUGUCUACUAGCCCCCGAUCAGAUCUGCUGAUGCAGAUUUUUGCUUCAUUUAUGACGGUCCUUUUUUUUCAUGAUUCCAAACAGCAUUAAAUCAGCUCCUGUGGGAUCUAAACGUAGUGAGUGAAUCAUAGAAUUUCUUGGAUUGGGAGCAUACAUACUGAUACCAAUGCAGCUUUCUUAUUGUAUAAUUGCAUCCUGAAUACAAUGAUUCUUCCUGGCAUAUCUUGGGUUUGUUCUAUAAUUUCAAUAUUAAGGUUAUAUGCUUUUUUUUACAGGUAUAGCAGCUGGUAUUUUUCUGUUUUAUUAUACAUUAUUAUUAUUUGCAUGGACUUCGACCUGCAAACUUUGCAGGUCCCAUGUGGUUUCAGUCACAUGGGGUCUAUAUGUGAAACCCCUGUGGGAUGGCUGUAUGAGCACAAUAUGGGAUAUAGGUGGGCUUAGUGGGCAAAAACAGGGAAAAUUUACAUUUUUUCUUUAGAAAUAUGGGUCCCUCAUGGGCUUAAAAUUCAGUCAGAACCAACCCAUAUGGGUAAACACAGGUGAGGCCACAUGGCCAUGCUGGCUGUGUAAGCAGACAUUCAGCUCUAUUUCAUAUGACACAUCUGGGCAUCAACAAACACGUCAGUCACAUGUUCCAAUACUUCUGCUCAGCUAAGAAUUUUGUGUUUUGUUACAAGUAAUUUUUUCUACUUAGUUCAAUGUAAGAAGCUGGAAAUAAAAGCUGAAAUCUG